Molecule: transfer RNA, 74 nt
Filed under: Escherichia coli
Lineage: Bacteria; Pseudomonadati; Pseudomonadota; Gammaproteobacteria; Enterobacterales; Enterobacteriaceae
Description: tRNA-Phe
Source: RNAcentral
GCCCGGAUAGCUCAGUUGGUAGAGUGAAGGGUGAACUCCUUAGGUCCUUGGUUCGAUGCCGAGUCCGGGCACCA